This 429-nucleotide ribosomal RNA is filed under the name uncultured bacterium. RNAcentral's name for it is "bacterial SSU rRNA". It matches the Rfam family "Bacterial small subunit ribosomal RNA", at positions 355 to 776 of the family's 1533-position model. The record is from RNAcentral.
UUAAGAAUCUUCCGCAAUGGACGCAAGUCUGACGGAGCGACGCCGCGUGAACGAUGAAGGCCGUGAGGUUGUAAAGUUCUUUUCUGGGGGAGGAAUAAUGAUGGCAGGGAAUGGUCAUCAGAUGACGUUAACCCAGGAAUAAGCCCCGGCUAACUACGUGCCAGCAGCCGCGGUAACACGUAGGGGGCGAGCGUUGUUCGGAAUUAUUGGGCGUAAAGGGUGCGCAGGCUGCAUAGGUAGUCUGAUGUAAAAUGUCUCGGCUUAACCGAGGCCUGCCAUUGGAAACUGCUAUGCUAGAGUACAGGAGGGGGAGUUGGAAUUCCAGGUGUAGGGGUGAAAUCUGUAGAUAUCUGGAGGAACAUCGGUGGCGAAGGCGAACUUCUGGCCAUGUACUGACGCUGAGGCACGAAGGCGUGGGGAGCAAACAGG